RNAcentral lists this transfer RNA (72 nucleotides) under Cavia porcellus (domestic guinea pig). It matches the Rfam family "tRNA". Rfam says of the family: Transfer RNA (tRNA) molecules are approximately 80 nucleotides in length. Lineage: Eukaryota; Metazoa; Chordata; Mammalia; Rodentia; Caviidae. The record is from Rfam by way of RNAcentral.
GGGGAUAUAGCUUAGCAGUACAGUGCUUGCCUAGAAAGUAAAAGGCCCUGGGUUCAAUCCCUAGUACCACAA